Molecule: ribosomal RNA, 253 nt
Filed under: uncultured bacterium
Lineage: Bacteria
Description: partial 16S ribosomal RNA
Rfam family: Bacterial small subunit ribosomal RNA
Source: RNAcentral
UACGAAGGGGGCUAGCGUUGCUCGGAAUCACUGGGCGUAAAGGGUGCGUAGGCGGGUCUUUAAGUCAGGGGUGAAAUCCUGGAGCUCAACUCCAGAACUGCCUUUGAUACUGAGGAUCUUGAGUUCGGGAGAGGUGAGUGGAACUGCGAGUGUAGAGGUGAAAUUCGUAGAUAUUCGCAAGAACACCAGUGGCGAAGGCGGCUCACUGGCCCGUAACUGACGCUGAGGUGCGAAAGCGUGGGGAGCAAACAGG